AGAUCAAUUGUUCAAUUUCGGAGACAUUUCCAGGAAAAAUGAUACAGAAAGGUAUAGGAUUUGCUUGACAGAUGGCCAAUAUUUGGCAUGUGAUAACUAGUUCAACAAUUUUGUGUGUGAUGACUCAAGCAAUGGAUGUAUGACUAUUAGUUUUAUUGGGAACGACUAUUCAGCAUCCAUAGGUAUGAUUACUUUUGACUGACAUGACAUAAGCAAAUGGAAAUGUCAGAAAGCAGCAGGGAAAUGUAUGGAAGCAACUGAUUCAUGUCCAAAAUCAUUUGCAGUUUGUUCAGAGAGAGGAGAAAUUGCUACUAUGAUGUGCACAAAUUACUGAGUGUUGUGGAGGUUGAACUAAUAGUUAUGAGAAUUUCAAUUCUGAUCUGAGAAAUGCACCAGAGCGACUGAGAAAAACUGUAAAACUAACAUAUCAAAUUUGAUUUCCCCCCAUGCUCCCGAGUAGUGGUAUGACCCAAUUUGCAGGUCUCCACAUAAGCUUGCUCCGCCCCUUUUCCACCUUUCAGCUCAUCCACCAAGGGACUGGGAGCAGCUGCCACUGAGGAACAUCCGUGAGGUACAUGAGGGGGACAUCUUUGGUUGCCAGUCUUGAGGAACACCAUAUCCAUAUAUGAGGGAUGGAGGGUCCAAAUACUUAUUUUACACUUAAUAGAGCGCUAUGGAGAAAAGCUUCUUGGUCAGAAGAAGGACACUCCUGGGACACUGCACUGUGCUGGCCCAAGUAAAAUGACUCCAGUGGCAGCUCCUAAAUUGUGUGCGCUGGGGUGAUGAAAACAAAGAGGACCAGUCAAAAAUGUUUGAUUUCUUCUAUUUUUCCAAAGCUUCUGCUCUUUGUACUUGUUUAUUUUACAAGAAAUCUACAGAAAAGUAAAGUUUUUGCUUAUCCAAUUUAAUUACCUGCAACUGUUUUUGCUUUCAGCCUAACUUCAGGAAUAAAGGCAAUUUUAGCAUCAUGAAUAGUAGAUCAGCUUCCAUGUUUAAAGGACUGCCAUGGCACAGGACUUCAAUGGAUACACACAACAACAAUUAAAAAACCUAAAUAUUGGGCGGUUUUUCAAUCAGUAUACUGAGUGUCAUUGUGAUUAUAAAAAUAAAUAUACAGUUUGUGUGUACUCAGUUUCCAUAUCUUUAAAAGAUGCAUGCACAUUAUAUGUCACUCAUUCAAGUGGCAUCUUCAGUCAUAUGCACAUUAUAGAUGCAUAAAUAAUAACAUUUGUUUAAAUCUAUUGCGAAGUUGGCAAAAAGGUUUGUACAACCUUGUGACAGUGUAAAGUGUAUGAAACAUAAUACUUGAUCUUGGUUUAGUCCAUCUCCUAACAAUUAAUUGCCAGCAUUCACAACCACAGACUGGUCUACUUUGUUGUUGUUUUGUCCUCUCUGAGCAAAUGUCAGGCAUAGUGUUGGAGCUCACAGCUUCAGGAUUACAGACAACUUAACAUUAACCAAACAACUACGACUUAAAUAUGAUCAAAUGAAUGAGGGCUCAUUUAGCUAUGAUGGAAGCGUAAAAUGUUGCUCAUAAAGGUGCAUGAAAUGAUCUGAGAGGGAGAUUCCCUCUUGCCACUUUUCCAAAGUGUUGAUGUAUGUUAAAUACUGAAAAAAUCAUCAAUUCAUUAGUUGUUGUUUUUUUAAGUUAAGAGUUUUUACAUGUAAUUUGUUCUAUAAACAGAGCUGGCUUUACAUA
Molecule: long non-coding RNA, 1699 nt
Organism: Haplochromis burtoni (Burton's mouthbrooder)
Lineage: Eukaryota; Metazoa; Chordata; Actinopteri; Cichliformes; Cichlidae
Exons: 3
Source: RefSeq, a predicted model, not a curated record